GGUGGCAUCCCAUUCCUCAACCAGGAGUUGUUUAAGGAUGUGAUGAUCCCGGCUCAGUAGGGGAAAGUGUUGGCGUCCUGGAGGAUGGAGUUAGAUCCCAAACAGUGGAGACAUGGGAUCACCACUGGCUCCAGCAUCUCAUUACAAUUUGCCUGUCUAUCAAUCAGGCAGUCAGGUGCCAGUAAUGUAGGGCACACACCUGAACCUCAAAACAAGAGGGAAUAUUGGAGGGGAUAGUUGGUGCUCUGGUCAGAAGAACAAUCGUGCUGCUUGUUGUGAAGGUGACUGAAUCCCACCUGCCUGUUUAGGUAAAGGCCAUUUGCAAGAGUGAUGCCAUAAUUUUACUAUAAUCAAAUGAUUAGCAAGUCAGUAAACACCACUCACACUCGCUGCCACCAAUGAUGAACCUGAAUUCCUCAGUGGCACCUCACAUGUGCCGUCUGACCCCUCUCUCUCUACAGUCAACUCUAUUAUGUAAUGACACCUCAGCACAUAAUGUGACAAUACCACAGACAUUUCUAUACAGCAGAAAAACAAAACGUACAGAGGCGCACAUGUACACACACAUUUUUAUUCACUCUGGGGAAAAGUGAUUUCAGCUUGCCUGGCCAGCUCAGGGAGUCAUCAUAGAGAUAUGUGAUGAGAGCUGUAUGAAUUAAUCCAUUUUAUUACUGGAAUGUCUUUAGUCAGCAGUUAUGUCCAGUAUGUGAAAAGUAUGAAUUGCUGAGUUGGAUGAGUGUUCGCUCUCAACAAUCUUCAAUGACAAUAUUAUAGUGAGUUAUCAAUGUGUUUUAUUCAUAUGUAAUAUAUUUGCAUAUGGCUUUUCUAAAAUAUUUUUCCCAUGUAGCUUUAGAAAACUUUGAUACAUCAAGUGUACUGUCCUGGAAUAUUUCAUCAUGUUGGCCCAGUUUUAUUUUAUUGUUUCUGACAGGGGCUGUAAAUCAUCUCAGAAGAUACAGUCCCACGGGACUCUGCUGUCUGAACUCCACACGUGGGUUGCUUGGACCUGAGAGUGUGUGCUUUUACAUCUGCUGUACUCACACACUGGAAGCUUUUAUCCCCUGCUUUUUUUCUCAUUCAUAAUACUCUUUGUUUGCAAACACUGUCUUGUUUUUGCACAUUUUUUUUCUAACAUCAGUAAUUCCAACUUGGUGAUUCCCUUACACUGUCUAUGUGAAUAAUUAAGCAGGUGUGUAAGAUGGCAUCAUCCUAAGCAGACUCCCGAGAACACAUCCAGGCCAACGAAACUGAUGAGGAUGUUAUUUGCCUGUAGCCCGGCCAUGCCCCAAAUAUCACGAACAAUGUCAUGAGAUACACGUGAGUCCUUGAAAGUGGAGUCCUGAUAUCUCUGUCUUUACAGAGUUUGUGACAUCACAGCAAUGGGAACCACAGAUGGCGGGCAAAGCCAUCUCUUCAACACAGCAAGGUCUGUCACCGCUGUGAUCUCCAGGAUGGCAGACAUUACUUCAAAGCUGCUCUGAUUUCCAUCGUAGGGCUGGCCACUGUGCAAUUUUAAUGAGCGUUGGCGCUGUUUUGGGACAAUCUUGCACUACAACCCUCUGUGGGCUCAGGAUUUCUUUCGAUAGUGGUUCCUUCCUUUAUCUUCAUCUGUAGAACCCCACCUGUUUCAGUAUGCAGUGUUUGAUGAAAGCACCAUUCCAGUUUGCUUCCGCUACAAUUUGAAGAUCUUCAUAUGUGUUGCAAGAUGUUUUUCCAAAAUAUGCACCAACCAAGAGACUAAGCAGUGGUUAGAUGGUUAAAGUUCUUGGUAUAGUUUGUGAUUGCCUUGUCAUCUCAAAGAAACCAGUUAUUGCAUUUCUUGGUCUCUUAAUUAAAUCUCUAAAGCUGGAUACGAUAAGCUACUUUUUGUACUCUAAAAUCAUUAUCUAACUUAUCUAUUUACCUCCUAAAAUUAAACAUAAAUAAUCCUAAUUGUAUUAGGAGCUCUUUAGAAUUUGUUACUCUAUUUAAUGCCCAUCCAACAUGUUUAUUUUAUAUAAAUGAUUAUUUGAUUUUAUAUUAUGGUGUUUUAAAAAAAGAUUUACUUAAAUUAAUUUAGCUCAAAUGUCUCAUUAAGUUACAAAGUUUUAAUAACUCUCUUUCAUUAAUGCUUACAGUACUAUAUAUUCACCUGGUUUUUGUUGUUAGUAACCUG
Melanotaenia boesemani (Boeseman's rainbowfish) is the source of this 2155-nucleotide long non-coding RNA. RefSeq lists it as uncharacterized. The record is from RefSeq and is a predicted model, not a curated record. NCBI's taxonomy places the organism in Eukaryota, Metazoa, Chordata, Actinopteri, Atheriniformes, Melanotaeniidae. The transcript has 3 exons.